Molecule: ribosomal RNA, 460 nt
Filed under: uncultured bacterium
Lineage: Bacteria
Description: partial 16S ribosomal RNA
Rfam family: Bacterial small subunit ribosomal RNA
Source: RNAcentral
CCUACGGGGGGCUGCAGUGAGGAAUAUUGGUCAAUGGGCGUACGCCUGAACCAGCCAAGUCGCGUGAGGGAAGACUGCCCUAUGGGUUGUAAACUUCUUUUAUAAAGGAAUAAAACGAGGCACGUGUGCCUUUUUGCAUGUACUUUAUGAAUAAGGAUCGGCUAACUCCGUGCCAGCAGCCGCGGUAACACGGAGGAUCCGAGCGUUAUCCGGAUUUAUUGGGUUUAAAGGGAGCGUAGAUGGGUUGUUAAGUCAGUUGUGAAAGUUUGCGGCUCAACCGUAAAAUUGCAAUUGAUACUGGCAGUCUUGAGUACAGUUGAGGUAGGCGGAAUUCGUGGUGUAGCGGUGAAAUGCUUAGAUAUCACGAAGAACCCCGAUUGCGAAGGCAGCUUACUAAACUGUGACUGACAUUGAUGCUCGAAAGUGUGGGUAUCAAACAGGAUUAGAUACCCCUGUAGUC